GAGUUUACAACUCCCAAACCCCUGUGAACAUACCUAUACGUUGCCUCGGCGGAUCAGCCCGCGCCCCGUAAAAAGGGACGGCCCGCCCGAGGACCCCUAAACUCUGUUUUUAGUGGAACUUCUGAGUAAAACAAACAAAUAAAUCAAAACUUUCAACAACGGAUCUCUUGGUUCUGGCAUCGAUGAAGAACGCAGCAAAAUGCGAUAAGUAAUGUGAAUUGCAGAAUUCAGUGAAUCAUCGAAUCUUUGAACGCACAUUGCGCCCGCCAGUAUUCUGGCGGGCAUGCCUGUUCGAGCGUCAUUUCAACCCUCAAGCUCAGCUUGGUGUUGGGACUCGCGGUAACCCGCGUUCCCCAAAUCGAUUGGCGGUCACGUCGAGCUUCCAUAGCGUAGUAAUCAUACACCUCGUUACUGGUAAUCGUCGCGGCCACGCCGUAAAACCCCAACUUCUGAAUGUUGACCUCGGAUCAGGUAGGAAUACCCGC
This 485-nucleotide ribosomal RNA is filed under the name fungal sp. E14505A. RNAcentral's name for it is "eukaryotic LSU rRNA". The stretch from base 148 to 301 matches the Rfam family "5.8S ribosomal RNA". Lineage: Eukaryota; Fungi. The record is from RNAcentral.